GACGAACGCUGGCGGCGUGCCUAAUACAUGCAAGUUGAGCGCUGAAGGUUGGUACUUGUACCAACUGGAUGAGCAGCGAACGGGUGAGUAACGCGUGGGGAAUCUGCCUUUGAGCGGGGGACAACAUUUGGAAACGAAUGCUAAUACCGCAUAAAAACUUUAAACACAAGUUUUAAGUUUGAAAGAUGCAAUUGCAUCACUCAAAGAUGAUCCCGCGUUGUAUUAGCUAGUUGGUGAGGUAAAGGCUCACCAAGGCGAUGAUACAUAGCCGACCUGAGAGGGUGAUCGGCCCCAUUGGGACUGAGACACGGCCCAAACUCCUACGGGAGGCAGCAGUAGGGAAUCUUCGGCAAUAGACGAAAGUCUGACCGAGCAACGCCGCGUGAGUGAAGAAGGUUUUCGGAUCGUAAAACUCUGUUGGUAGAGAAGAACGUUGGUGAGAGUGGAAAGCUCAUCAAGUGACGGUAACUACCCAGAAAGGGACGGCUAACUACGUG
This 497-nucleotide ribosomal RNA is filed under the name uncultured bacterium. RNAcentral's name for it is "partial 16S ribosomal RNA". It matches the Rfam family "Bacterial small subunit ribosomal RNA", at positions 28 to 507 of the family's 1533-position model. The record is from RNAcentral.